Molecule: ribosomal RNA, 497 nt
Filed under: uncultured bacterium
Lineage: Bacteria
Description: partial 16S ribosomal RNA
Rfam family: Bacterial small subunit ribosomal RNA
Source: RNAcentral
GAUGAACGCUGGCGGCGUGCCUAAUACAUGCAAGUCGAGCGAACGGACGAGAAGCUUGCUUCUCUGAUGUUAGCGGCGGACGGGUGAGUAACACGUGGAUAACCGACCUAUAAGACUGGGAUAACUUCGGGAAACCGGAUCUAAUACCGGAUGAUAUUUUGAACCGCAUGGUUCAAAAGUGAAAGACGGUCUUGCUGUCACUUAUAGAUGGAUCCGCGCUGCAUUAGCUAGUUGGUAAGGUAACGGCCUACCAAGGCAACGAUGCAUAGCCGACCUGAGAGGGUGAUCAGCCACACUGGAACUGAGACACGGUCCAGACUCCUACGGGAGGCAGCAGUAGGGAAUAUUGCGCAAUGGGCGAAAGCCUGACGGAGCAACGCCGCGUGAGUGAUGAAGGUCUUCGGAUCGUAAAACUCUGUUAUUAGGGAAGAACAUAUGUGUAAGUAACUGUGCACAUCUUGACGGUACCUAAACAGAAAGCCACGGCUAACUACGUG